UUUGAACUUCCCAUGAUGACCAUGACCAAACCCAUGAGCACCAUAAGCACCAUGAGCACCAUGAGCACCGUGAGACACGUGGUGAGCCCCCAUAGCAGCUGCGGCAGCUGCUGCACCACCUGCAAGCAGCGCUCCCAUGCCACCGUGCCCUGCACACACACACACACACACACAAAAAGGGUAAUUAAUUAUUGGCAUCUCACAUUUAACAUAACAAACUUGGACCACAUUACGAUUAUGUAGGAAGUUUUACCUGAAUGGGAUGCACCAGGAUAGCCAGAUGGUGGAUAGCCGUGAGGGGGGUAUCCUCCUUGAGGAGGGUAGCCAGCUGGUGGAUAGCCUUGAGGUGGGUAAGCUCCAGCAGGUGGAUAUCCGCCAGGAGGUGGAGGGUAUGCACCAGGAGGGUGUCCAUGACCACCAUGACUAAGACCAUGAGCAAGAUGUGAAAACAGACCCUUAUCAUCAGGCUUAUGCUUGUCCUUCCCCAUGAUUUCUCAACCAAUAAUCACUUC
Molecule: long non-coding RNA, 512 nt
Filed under: Gossypium barbadense (sea-island cotton)
Lineage: Eukaryota; Viridiplantae; Streptophyta; Magnoliopsida; Malvales; Malvaceae
Description: long non-coding RNA (GBAR_LNC007570)
Source: RNAcentral